CGGAUGUAGUAAGUCUCUAGCCAACUGAAUAAGAAAGCAUAUUGUUACUACUAGAAUGAAACCACGACGCUGGCAGAUGUGACCAUACGUGAAAUAUGCAUGCAAAAACCACCGUCAUACUCCGCAGAGGCCACACCUCGGGUGUUAUUUUUUUAAAGGCUGUCAACUCUCAUCAGUACUUUCUGUAAUGUUUGCGUCCUCCCCGGUCCCGGUACCGCGGCUCUCUGACCGCCGGGAGACAUAUGGCAAGGUUCACCCGGUUCAUCCGGGCUCAACCGAGUAUCAGUCUCCACUAAAAACACCACUGCGGUGCUCCGUGAGGACGGGACGGCCACCCAGGGCCCGCCGAGGGUCCAAACCGCGCAGGGUCUGUGGAAACCGGGGUUCGACAUCUGACCCGACAGGGGCCCCGCGCGCCCGAGGCGUGACCGCCCUUGGUGGAGCGCACGGGAAAGACAACAACGAAGUUCGGUUUUAAAAAAGGAAACGGGCAGAAAAUCGCUUCCGAGACAAGGCAGCGGGGGCGAGAACCACGAAACUCAAAGACGGCCCCCAAGGCUUCAAAGACACAGCCUGGCGGGCGCCCACCCCACACCCGGAGUGGUCUGGAACCAAACCCGAAAUACCUCCAAGCACGUGUGACUUAU
This is a long non-coding RNA of Eptesicus fuscus (big brown bat), 647 nucleotides long. RefSeq lists it as uncharacterized. The record is from RefSeq and is a predicted model, not a curated record. The transcript has 3 exons. NCBI's taxonomy places the organism in Eukaryota, Metazoa, Chordata, Mammalia, Chiroptera, Vespertilionidae.